UAUUGGUCAAUGGGCGGAAGGCUGAACCAGCCAUGCCGCGUACAGGAUGACUGCCCUAUGGGUUGUAAACUGCUUUUGUCCGGGAAUAAACCUCUUUACGAGUAGGGUGCUGAUUGUACCGGAAGAAUAAGGAUCGGCUAACUCCGUGCCAGCAGCCGCGGUAAUACGGAGGAUCCGAGCGUUAUCCGGAUUUAUUGGGUUUAAAGGGUGCGUAUGCGGCCUGUUAAGUCAGGGGUGAAAUACGGUGGCUCAACCAUCGCAGUGCCUUUGAUACUGACGGGCUUGAAUCCAUAUGAAGUGGGCGGAAUAAGACAAGUAGCGGUGAAAUGCAUAGAUAUGUCUUAGAACUCCGAUUGCGAAGGCAGCUCACUAAGCUGGUAUUGACGCUGAUGCACGAAAGCGUGGGGAUCGAACAGG
Molecule: ribosomal RNA, 417 nt
Filed under: uncultured bacterium
Lineage: Bacteria
Description: bacterial SSU rRNA
Rfam family: Bacterial small subunit ribosomal RNA
Source: RNAcentral